UACGAAGGUGGCAAGCGUUGUUCGGAUUUACUGGGCGUACAGGGAGCGUAGGCGGUUGGAUAAGCCCUCCGUGAAAUCUCCAGGCUUAACCUGGAAAGUGCAGAGGGGACUGUUCAGCUAGAGGAUGGGAGAGGAGCGCGGAAUUCCCGGUGUAGCGGUGGAAUGCGCAGAUAUCAGGAGGAACACCAAUAGCGAAGGCAGCUCGCUGGGACGGUACUGACGCUAAGG
RNAcentral lists this ribosomal RNA (228 nucleotides) under uncultured prokaryote. Its description in RNAcentral is "partial 16S ribosomal RNA". It matches the Rfam family "Bacterial small subunit ribosomal RNA", at positions 524 to 751 of the family's 1533-position model. The record is from RNAcentral.